UUUUUUUUUUUUUUUUUUGCUUCAUAUUUUCUAGUAUUAUUAUGAUCUUAUAUAUAUGCAGCAGGCUUGCAGAAAAGAAAUAGUUCCCUGAAGAGUAAAUGGGCAAUUGAGAUUAAACAACAGAAUGCAAGUCUAUAUAAAGGGAGAAAGUGUGAAACUGCAUCAUGUAACAAGAACAACUAAAAGCAAAGUGCAAAAUCUCAAUACCAAAAAAUGGUACAGAUUUUGGAUUAUAUGGGCAAAAACCAUCAUGGUUUUCAUUGAAUUGCAAGAUGCAAAAACAUCAGAAGGGAGAAUUCAGCGCAUCUAAAUUCAAGAUUAACGUGUACAGAUGAGGAGGCAUACUACAGACUGUUGGCAUAUAGGGGAAAAGCAUGUCAUUGUGUUCAAAAUUGAAUUUUAAGAGGUAAAAACUGCAGCAACUACACUUCAGUGCAUCUAAAUUCCACAUUGAUGUGUACCUUGCCAAAAGACUUGUUGAUGC
RNAcentral lists this unclassified non-coding RNA (484 nucleotides) under Hevea brasiliensis (rubber tree). Lineage: Eukaryota; Viridiplantae; Streptophyta; Magnoliopsida; Malpighiales; Euphorbiaceae. The record is from RNAcentral.